This is a long non-coding RNA of Stylophora pistillata, 318 nucleotides long. NCBI's taxonomy places the organism in Eukaryota, Metazoa, Cnidaria, Anthozoa, Scleractinia, Pocilloporidae. The record is from RefSeq and is a predicted model, not a curated record.
ACUUUCAUUAGCUGGCAGGUCUCCCUUUAAUUUGGUCAGAUACCAUUUCUCGUGACUCCCGAUGGAAAAGUGCUUGGUGAGUCUCUAGCAAUCAUGAAGUAUGUUUGCAGAAUAAGAGGUUUAAGCCUAACAGAAAGUUUUGAUGAGGCAAUUGCUGAUAUGAUUGUGGGUGGAGUGGAUGAUUUUUUCAACUCCUUAGUAAAGGCUUAUAAGGAAGAUGAUGAAGCUAAAAAGAUGGAGCUGAUGAAAGAAUUCUUUGAAGAAACCCUCCUAACCGACUGUCAAAAUAUGAAAAUCUUCUGAGAGCCAACAAAGAAG